CAGUAGCCGCGGUAAUACGAAGGGGGCUAGCGUUGCUCGGAAUUACUGGGCGUAAAGGGAGCGUAGGCGGACAUUUAAGUCAGGGGUGAAAUCCCAGAGCUCAACUCUGGAACUGCCUUUGAUACUGGGUGUCUUGAGUGUGAUAGAGGUAUGUGGAACUCCGAGUGUAGAGGUAAAAUUCGUAGAUAUUCGGAAGAACACCAGUGGCGAAGGCGACAUACUGGAUCAUUACUGACGCUGAGGCUCGAAAGCGUGGGGAGCAAACAGGAUUAGAGACCCGAGUAGUCCCUGUCUCUUAUAC
RNAcentral lists this ribosomal RNA (301 nucleotides) under uncultured bacterium. Its description in RNAcentral is "partial 16S ribosomal RNA". It matches the Rfam family "Bacterial small subunit ribosomal RNA", at positions 509 to 807 of the family's 1533-position model. The record is from RNAcentral.